RNAcentral lists this long non-coding RNA (1332 nucleotides) under Cervus hanglu yarkandensis (Yarkand deer). Its description in RNAcentral is "lncRNA (ENSCHYG00000024572.1)". Lineage: Eukaryota; Metazoa; Chordata; Mammalia; Artiodactyla; Cervidae. The record is from RNAcentral.
UGACAUUCCAGCUCAAGGCAUGUGUUACAUUUUUUUUUCUUUUUUUUUUUUGGUAUAUCCUGCAAUAGAGCAAUUAAAAAAAAAAAAAAAUCUUCCCUUGCGACCCUGCAAGGAGACGCUUGAGGAGUUCCGUGCGCCCGGGCGGACCAUGGCUGAGCUUAAAGUUACUCCAGGCAUCCGUGCACAGCAGGAGAGUUCGACUGUAGCCGGGGAAGGGGCAGGGGCAGGGUCUAACUGUUCACAGUCACGGCUGGAGAUUAUUCGCAGUCAACCGCCCCGAAGGAACUGUGGUCUGGAACUACUUUGGAGAUUUGAAAAAUGAAAAGAAAUGGGAACCCAAGUUACCCAGCCCGCCUCCCCCAUCUCUUUCUGAGUGUACCCACUUAGCAUAGGCAGAAAGGACAACAAUCAAAUGAAAAACAUUUCCAGGGGUGAACCCCAAAGGUCAGUCUCUGGCUUCGCCGGACAAUGGGGGUUGGGCCUCCUCUUCUCCUCCAAAGGGAUGAAGGAGUCUUAAUGAAGAGGCAUUUUCUCCGGCGAAGAUUCUAAACCCCAGCGGGUUCCACAAACUCCGGGGAAGCGAAGCUUCUGGCGCUGGGCGGAGGGAGGGGUGUCGCUCUGCGAAUCGCUGCUCUGGGACCCGGCCCCAGAGCCGCACCCGCGCCCCUCCGCUCCCCGCGCGCGACCCCGCUCGGCCGCACGCUCCCGCGCCCGCGCCCGCGCCCCCGCCCCCGCCGCGCGCACAGCCCGGCCGGCGCGCGCACCCGGCUCACAGGCGCCGCCGCGCUCCGAGCGCUCAGACCGCGGCCGCCGCCGGCCCGCGAGACCGAGUCCUGCACGCCCGACAUGCGCCUCGGCUAGCGACUCCCCGGUCCGCGAGCACCGCGCGUCCUCCCCUCGGUUAUUUCUCUCCUUCUCUCUCUUACACACGCACAGACACACGCGCGCGCGCUCACACGCACAACCUCGCGCCAGUCCAUCCUCUGGAGGAGAAAACAUUUCCUUGGCGCCCCCUCCCUCUCCAUUCAGACCCGCCGAGGAGCCGCGCGGCGGGAACCCCCAGAUCGUCUGGAAAUGCUAAUCCUAAAGCGCUUCCUCGCCUGUAUUCAGCUCCUCUGUGUUUGCCGCCUGGUAUGUAUGAGCACUUAUUCUGUGCCUGGUACUAGAGAGUAUAUAAGGAUUCAGCACUUUCUGCUCUUAAAAUGAACCUGGACAGAAGAGAGACAAAUGAGCCUCUAUUCAUUGAAGGAGAGUGACAGCCACCAUACAUAGAAGAAGGUAUGGAUGCACAGAUGCUUAGUGUAUUUAGUAGAGGGGUCAUGGGAAGGGGCA